UUGUCACACUCCUACGGGAGGCAGCAUGGGGAAUAUUGCACAAUGGGGGAAACCCUGAUGCAGCCAUGCCGCGUGUGUGAAGAAGGCCUUCGGGUUGUAAAGCACUUUCAGUAGGGAGGAAGGUAGUGUAGUUAACACCUGCAUUAUUUGACGUUACCUACAGAAGAAGCACCGGCUAACUCCGUGCCAGCAGCCGCGGUAAUACGGAGGGUGCGAGCGUUAAUCGGAAUUACUGGGCGUAAAGCGCAUGCAGGCGGCCUGUUAAGUCAGAUGUGAAAGCCCCGGGGCUUAACCUCGGAAUUGCAUUUGAAACUGGCAGGCUAGAGUCUUGUAGAGGGGGUAGAAUUUCAGGUGUAGCGGUGAAAUGCGUAGAGAUCUGAAGGAAUACCAGUGGCGAAGGCGGCCCCCUGGACAAAGACUGACGCUCAGAUGCGAAAGCGUGGGGAGCAAACAGGGUUAGAUACCCUGGUAG
This 472-nucleotide ribosomal RNA is filed under the name uncultured bacterium. Its description in RNAcentral is "bacterial SSU rRNA". It matches the Rfam family "Bacterial small subunit ribosomal RNA", at positions 328 to 793 of the family's 1533-position model. The record is from RNAcentral.